This 430-nucleotide ribosomal RNA is filed under the name Entrophospora sp. RNAcentral's name for it is "SSU rRNA". It matches the Rfam family "Eukaryotic small subunit ribosomal RNA", at positions 459 to 886 of the family's 1831-position model. Lineage: Eukaryota; Fungi; Glomeromycota; Glomeromycetes; Entrophosporales; Entrophosporaceae. The record is from RNAcentral.
GGGAGGUAGUGACAAUAAAUAACAAUACGGGGCUCUUUAGGGUCUCGUAAUUGGAAUGAGUACAAUUUAAAUCCCUUAACGAGGAACAAUUGGAGGGCAAGUCUGGUGCCAGCAGCCGCGGUAAUUCCAGCUCCAAUAGCGUAUAUUAAAGUUGUUGCAGUUAAAAAGCUCGUAGUUGAAUUUCGGGAUUUGCACAUCGGUCGUGCCUUAAGGGGUAUGAACUGGUGUAGUGAAUUUCUCACCUUCUGGAGAACCGUGAUGUCCUUAAUUGGGUGCCACGAGGAACCAGGACCUUUACUUUGAAAAAAUUAGAGUGUUUAAAGCAGGCAUUUUUGCUUGAAUACAUUAGCAUGGAAUAAUAAAAUAGGACGGCAUGAUUCUAUUUUGUUGGUUUCUAGGAUCACCGUAAUGAUUAAUAGGGAUAGUUGGG